RNAcentral lists this ribosomal RNA (301 nucleotides) under uncultured bacterium. RNAcentral's name for it is "partial 16S ribosomal RNA". It matches the Rfam family "Bacterial small subunit ribosomal RNA", at positions 509 to 807 of the family's 1533-position model. The record is from RNAcentral.
CAGCAGCCGCGGGAACACGGAGGGUGCAAGCGUUAUCCGGAUUCACUGGGUUUAAAGGGUGCGUAGGCGGAUCUGUAAGUCAGUGGUGAAAUCCCCAGGCUUAACCUGGAAACUGCCGUUGAUACUAUAGGUCUUGAAUUUUGUGGAGGUUAGCGGAAUAUGUCAUGUAGCGGUGAAAUGCAUAGAUAUGACAUAGAACACCAAUUGCGAAGGCAGCUGGCUACACAACUAUUGACGCUGAGGCACGAAAGCGUGGGGAUCAAACAGGAUUAGAUACCCGAGUAGUCCCUGUCUCUUAUAC